UUUUUGCUGUGUAGAUCCUCCUUUUCCUUUGAUAAACCGAAUUAGAGAGGCACCUACCUCAAUGGAAAGUGAAUGCUUCUCCAUAGAAAGCACAGACCCUCCUUCUAAAACUUUAUUUUCGGUAUUAUUGUCCAGGGAGCUAGAACUGACAGUUGACUGAGUUACUUCAGUUACAGUCACUUGUUUAGUAUUUGAAAAGGAGCCAGAUGAAAAGUGUACUUCUUGAAGUUGAUCUUCAUUUUCUGACUCAACAGUCACAUCUUUUAUCAGGGAUU
Molecule: unclassified non-coding RNA, 275 nt
Filed under: Hevea brasiliensis (rubber tree)
Lineage: Eukaryota; Viridiplantae; Streptophyta; Magnoliopsida; Malpighiales; Euphorbiaceae
Source: RNAcentral